AGGCCUAUGCUCGAAUACAUUAGCAUGGAAUAAUAGAAUAGGACGUGUGGUUCUAUUUUGUUGGUUUCUAGGACCGCCGUAAUGAUUAAUAGGGACAGUCGGGGGCAUCAGUAUUCAAUUGUCAGAGGUGAAAUUCUUGGAUCUAUUGAAGACUAACUACUGCGAAAGCAUUUGCCAAGGAUGUUUUCAUUGAUAAGGAACAAAAGUUAGGGGAUCGAAGACGAUCAGAUACCGUCGUAGUCUUAACUAUAAACUAUGCCGACUAGGGAUCGGACGAUGUUAUUUUUUGACGCGUUCGGCACCUUUCGAGAAAUCAAAGUGCUUGGGCUCCAGGGGGAGUAUGGUCGCAAGGCUGAAACUUAAAGAAAUUGACGGAAGGGCACCACCAGGGGUGGAACCUGCGGCUUAAUUUGACUCAACACGGGGAAACUCACCAGGUCCAGACACAGUGAGGAUUGACAGAUUGAGAGCUCUUUCUUGAUUCUGUGGGUGGUGGUGCAUGGCCGUUCUUAGUUGGUGGAGUGAUUUGUCUGCUUAAUUGCGAUAAC
RNAcentral lists this ribosomal RNA (548 nucleotides) under uncultured fungus. Its description in RNAcentral is "SSU rRNA". It matches the Rfam family "Eukaryotic small subunit ribosomal RNA", at positions 782 to 1332 of the family's 1831-position model. Lineage: Eukaryota; Fungi. The record is from RNAcentral.